AAUCCAUAGGUUAAUGAGGCGAACCGGGGGAACUGAAACAUCUAAGUACCCCGAGGAAAAGAAAUCAACCGAGAUUCCCCCAGUAGCGGCGAGCGAACGGGGAGGAGCCCAGAGCCUGAAUCAGCAUGUGUGUUAGUGGAAGCGUCUGGAAAGGCGCGCGAUACAGGGUGACAGCCCCGUACACAAAAGCGCAUGUGCUGUGAGCUCGAUGAGUAGGGCGGGACACGUGGUAUCCUGUCUGAAUAUGGGGGGACCAUCCUCCAAGGCUAAAUACUCCUGACUGACCGAUAGUGAACCAGUACCGUGAGGGAAAGGCGAAAAGAACCCCGGCGAGGGGAGUGAAAAAGAACCUGAAACCGUGUACGUACAAGCAGUGGGAGCACCCUUCGGGGUGUGACUGCGUACCUUUUGUAUAAUGGGUCAGCGACUUAUAUUCUGUAGCAAGGUUAACCGAAUAGGGGAGCCGGAGGGAAACCGAGUCUUAAUUGGGCGUUAAGUUGCAGGGUAUAGACCCGAAACCCGGUGAUCUAGCCAUGGGCAGGUUGAAGGUUGGGUAACACUAACUGGAGGACCGAACCGACUAAUGUUGAAAAAUUAGCGGAUGACCUGUGGCUGGGGGUGAAAGGCCAAUCAAACCGGGAGAUAGCUGGUUCUCCCCGAAAGCUAUUUAGGUAGCGCCUCGUGAACUCAUCU
Molecule: ribosomal RNA, 693 nt
Filed under: Salmonella enterica subsp. enterica serovar Rissen
Lineage: Bacteria; Pseudomonadati; Pseudomonadota; Gammaproteobacteria; Enterobacterales; Enterobacteriaceae
Description: partial 23S ribosomal RNA
Rfam family: Bacterial large subunit ribosomal RNA
Source: RNAcentral